Molecule: ribosomal RNA, 496 nt
Filed under: uncultured bacterium
Lineage: Bacteria
Description: partial 16S ribosomal RNA
Rfam family: Bacterial small subunit ribosomal RNA
Source: RNAcentral
GAUGAACGCUGGCGGCGUGCCUAAUACAUGCAAGUCGAGCGAACAGACGAGGAGCUUGCUCCUCUGACGUUAGCGGCGGACGGGUGAGUAACACGUGUAAACCCCCCUUUUAUUACUGGUAUAAUUCGGGAAACCGGGCGCAAAACCGGUAUAAAUUAUUGAACCCCAGGGUUCAUUGGUGAAUAACGGUUUUUUGGUCACUACUAGAUGGUUCCGCGCCGCUUUGGCUAGUUGGUACGGUAACGGCUUACAAAGGCAACGAUGCGUAGCCGACCUGAGAGGGUGAUCGGCCACACUGGAACGGAGACACGGUCCAGGCUCCUACGGGAGGCAGCAGUAGGGAAUCUUCCGAAAUGGGCGAAAGCUUGACGGAGCAACGCCGCGUGAGUGAUGAAGGUCUUCGGAUCGUAAAACUCUGUUAUUAGGGAAGAACAAAUGUGUAAGUAACUAUGCACGUCUUGACGGUACCUAAUCAGAAAGCCACGGCUAACUACGU